This is a non-coding RNA of Salvelinus sp. IW2-2015, 1590 nucleotides long. Lineage: Eukaryota; Metazoa; Chordata; Actinopteri; Salmoniformes; Salmonidae. The record is from RefSeq and is a predicted model, not a curated record.
ACCACAGUCACGAAUACAGCCCAGCGUUGGCUAUAUAAAAGGAAAAAGAACAGCACCAAGCGCCACUCAACCUCCUUGAAGACCCAUGAGCAGAUAGGUGCAGUCUCUCUCUCCUGGAUUUCAGGCACAAUGUUUGCGUUAUUGGUUUGCAUCCUGACACUGCAUGAAGUGUACUCUGUGUGCAAUGUGGUAAGUACUCCUACUAAUUACUUAAAAUAACAUAUGUCAUCUGAAACAGUACAUUAGACAUGAAACCAAUUACACGUUAAAGUAUUUAUGAAAGGUCUUACUCUGAAAGCUUUUCAUUCUUUCCCUUGAGCCAUCUCCUACUGCUGUGUCCACAGUCAAAAAUUUGCCCAGACAGCACAGCAGUUCAGGCUGAGAUCCUUAACCAGCACAAUGCCUUCCGGAGAGCGGUUACACCAACUGCUAGAGACAUGCUCAAGAUGAACUGGAGCGAGGAGGCAGCGGCCAGUGCUCAGGCUUGGGUUGACACCUGCUCCAUGGCUCAUGGCCCACCCAGCAGUCGCAUGCUUGGCGACUACGAAAUGGGUGAGAACCUGUUCAUGUCCUCCAAUUCUAAGAAUUGGACUGAAAUAGUUACAGCCUGGCACAGUGAGGUCAUAGAUUACUCCUAUCCCAAUGGAUCUAUCAAUGGUGGUUUGGAACAGUUCAUACAAGGUUGGCUGUGGUGUGGCCCUGUGUCCUGGCUCAGUCUACUUCUAUGGAUGCCAGUAUUACAGAGCGGGAAACUACAGAGGAGUGGCUCCAUACAAGGAAGGAGCUACAUGUGCUGACUGCCCCAACUCCUGCGAAAACAAGCUUUGCACCAAUCCCUGUCCUUACAUAAACAAGUAUGUCAAUUGUGCCGCCAUGAAAAAACAGGCCGGGUGCAGUAAUCCUUUGGUGUACGCCUGGUGUCCCGCCCUCUGCCUGUGCACCUCCAAAAUCAUCCCAAUAGCAAAGAAGUGAAACCACCAGACCUCUCCAAAAUGGUCCACUGAGAGAUAACUUUGAAUGAUUCCUCUGUUGUUUCCUUGUCUAUGAGAAGAAGAAAAAAACAUAAAACCUGGUUGAUCUAUCUACUGUACUUCUGGUAAAGUCAGUUGAUUUUAAAAAUACUAACUAUCACUAAUAAUAUUUUAAUAAUCACUGUAGGUCUAAGGUACAGAUAAAACAUGAUUCUUAUUCUGGGGGUAACAUAAGGUGUCUAAUCUAUAGUAACUAAUGUUAGUUUGAAGCGUUGCAAUGUAUUUUGUUCCCUUUCAUUGGUUUCAAUGUCUUCAUACCCAUUUCACCAAAGAAAAUCAAUUUUUGAUUUGCAUGGAUGUUGAAUAAGAAUAUCCUCUACAUUUUGAUAAGCAAUYUUUCCAUCAGUUACAGUAACAGUGAACAUUUUGAUAAUUUUAUUUCUGCUAAUUAACUACACAGUAAUAUGGUUAUACAGAACUGUAAUACCUCAACACAUUUAACUUUAAGUUGAUUCAUGCUGCUCACCAUUUGCUCUAUCAACAUUAAAUGUUUGCACAUGACAGAAAUAUAUAACCCUUAUUAUUUUCCUCAAUCACAUUAAAUGAUCAUGAAGAUUAA